CCUACGGGAGGCAGCAGUGAGGAAUAUUGGUCACUGGACGAGCGUCUGAACCAGCCAAGUAGCGUGAAGGAUGACUUCCCUAUGGGUUGUAAACUUCUUUUAUAUGGGAAUAAAAUGUUCCACGUGUGGGAUUUUGUCUGUACCAUAUGAAUAAGGAUCGGCUAACUCCGUGCCAGCAGCCGCGGUAAUACGGAGGAUCCGAGCGUUAUCCGGAUUUAUUGGGUUUAAAGGGAGCGUAGGUGGAUUGUUAAGUCAGUUGUGAAAGUUUGCGGCUCAACCGUAAAAUUGCAGUUGAAACUGGCAGUCUUGAGUACAGUAGAGGUGGGCGGAAUUCGGGGUGUAGCGGUGAAAUGCUUAGAUAUCACGAAGAACUCCGAUUGCGAAGGCAGUUCACUGGACUGCAACUGACACUGAGGCUCGAAAGUGUGGGUAUCAAACAGGAGUAGAUACCCCUGUAGUC
This 460-nucleotide ribosomal RNA is filed under the name uncultured bacterium. Its description in RNAcentral is "partial 16S ribosomal RNA". It matches the Rfam family "Bacterial small subunit ribosomal RNA", at positions 338 to 795 of the family's 1533-position model. The record is from RNAcentral.